RNAcentral lists this ribosomal RNA (98 nucleotides) under Staphylococcus aureus. Its description in RNAcentral is "partial 16S ribosomal RNA". It matches the Rfam family "Bacterial small subunit ribosomal RNA", at positions 1443 to 1533 of the family's 1533-position model. The record is from RNAcentral. RNAcentral also lists the same sequence under 1 other name. Lineage: Bacteria; Bacillati; Bacillota; Bacilli; Caryophanales; Staphylococcaceae.
UAGGAGCUAGCCGUCGAAGGUGGGACAAAUGAUUGGGGUGAAGUCGUAACAAGGUAGCCGUAUCGGAAGGUGCGGCUGGAUCACCUCCUUUCUAAGGA